GACGAACGCUGGCGGCGUGCUUAACACAUGCAAGUCGAACGGAAAGGCCCUGCUUUUGUGGGGUGCUCGAGUGGCGAACGGGUGAGUAACACGUGAGUAACCUGCCCUUGACUUUGGGAUAACUUCAGGAAACUGGGGCUAAUACCGGAUAGGAGCUCCUGCUGCAUGGUGGGGGUUGGAAAGUUUCGGCGGUUGGGGAUGGACUCGCGGCUUAUCAGCUUGUUGGUGGGGUAGUGGCUUACCAAGGCUUUGACGGGUAGCCGGCCUGAGAGGGUGACCGGCCACAUUGGGACUGAGAUACGGCCCAGACUCCUACGUGAGGCAGCAGUCGGGAAUAUUGCACAAUGGGCGGAAGCCUGAUGCAGCAACGCCGCGUGCGGGAUGACGGCCUUCGGGUUGUAAACCGCUUUCGCCUGUGACGAAGCGUGAGUGACGGUAAUGGGUAAAGAAGCACCGGCUAACUACGUG
RNAcentral lists this ribosomal RNA (468 nucleotides) under uncultured bacterium. Its description in RNAcentral is "partial 16S ribosomal RNA". It matches the Rfam family "Bacterial small subunit ribosomal RNA", at positions 28 to 507 of the family's 1533-position model. The record is from RNAcentral.